This 76-nucleotide transfer RNA is filed under the name Desulfuromonas sp. Its description in RNAcentral is "tRNA-Lys". It matches the Rfam family "tRNA". From Rfam's summary of the family: Transfer RNA (tRNA) molecules are approximately 80 nucleotides in length. Their secondary structure includes four short double-helical elements and three loops (D, anti-codon, and T loops). RNAcentral also lists the same sequence under 2 other names. Lineage: Bacteria; Pseudomonadati; Thermodesulfobacteriota; Desulfuromonadia; Desulfuromonadales; Desulfuromonadaceae. The record is from RNAcentral.
GAGCCGGUAGCUCAGUUGGUAGAGCAUCUGACUUUUAAUCAGAUGGUCGUGGGUUCGAUUCCCCCCCGGCUCACCA